CUGCUACUCCUUUGAAAUCUGCAGCAUCAUUGAUGGAAGACUGAGAACAAAACCCCAAAUCAGAAGUCAGCCAGGUUCAUGGAUGUGAACAUGAGUUCAAAAUUCACCCCAUGUCUUAGCCCUAUGAGUGUCUUCUAGGACAAUCGCAGCCAGUAAAAGCUCACCUUCAGCUGAGCUCCUCCACGGAUGUAGUUGUAAGAUGAGAGACCCUUCUGGAGAUGAAGAGAACGCAGCAACUGCUCAGAACUCCCUUGAAGCAGCUGGCAAAGGUUUAAAAGUGAAUGAAUAUCGAGGCUGAAAAUAAAGCCAGGGUCAAGUA
Non-coding RNA from Monodelphis domestica (gray short-tailed opossum), 319 nucleotides. Lineage: Eukaryota; Metazoa; Chordata; Mammalia; Didelphimorphia; Didelphidae. The record is from RefSeq and is a predicted model, not a curated record.